This 465-nucleotide ribosomal RNA is filed under the name uncultured bacterium. RNAcentral describes it as "partial 16S ribosomal RNA". It matches the Rfam family "Bacterial small subunit ribosomal RNA", at positions 338 to 795 of the family's 1533-position model. The record is from RNAcentral.
CCUACGGGAGGCAGCAGUGGGGAAUAUUGGGCAAUGGGCGCAAGCCUGACCCAGCAACGCCGCGUGAGUGAAGAAGGGUUUCGGCUCGUAAAGCUCUGUUGGUAGUGAAGAAAGAUAGAGGUAGUAACUGGCCUUUAUUUGACGGUAAUUACUUAGAAAGUCACGGCUAACUACGUGCCAGCAGCCGCGGUAAUACGUAGGUGGCAAGCGUUGUCCGGAUUUAUUGGGCGUAAAGCGAGUGCAGGCGGUUCAAUAAGUCUGAUGUGAAAGCCUUCGGCUCAACCGGAGAAUUGCAUCAGAAACUGUUGAACUGGAGUGCAGAAGAGGAGAGUGGAACUCCAGGUGUAGCGGUGGAAUGCGUAGAUAUAUGGAAGAACACCAGUGGCGAAGGCGGCUCUCUGGUCUGCAACUGACGCUGAGGCUCGAAAGCAUGGGUAGCGAACAGGAUUAGAUACCCGGGUAGUC